AUGGAGGCGGCCNNNNNNNNNNNNNNNNNNNNNNNNNNNNNNNNNNNNNNNNNNNNNNNNNNNNCCGGCGCCGGCGCGGGGCCCGGGAGCCAGCCCUCCACGCCCCCGCCCCCGGCGGCCGCGAGGCCGAGCCGCCUCGCGGCGCUCAUCGGGCGCGCGGCGGGGCGGCGCGGGCCGUCGAUGCUGGUGCGCGAGACGGCGGCGCUGCAGCUCGACCGGAGGCGCGCCGACUGGGCCCACUCCCGCCCCGUCGUCGCGCUCGACGUCGCCUGGAACGUCGCCUUCGCGGCGGCCGCGGCGGCGGUGCUCGCGGCCUCCACCGCCGAGAGCCGCGCCAAGCCGCUCCGCCUCUGGCUCGUAGGAUACGCCCUGCAGUGCGUCGUGCACGUCUCCCUCGUCUGCUCCGGCACCCGCCGCCGCCCCGCCGCCCCCGCGCGAGGCCCCGACAUCGAGUCCGGCGCCGCCAACAGCUCGGAGAGCGAUGAGGGGAACGACGAGGAGGCGAUGGAAGAGAGGGCAAGCUCUACGGACCGUUGUGAGUCGGUCAACACGAUGGUGUCAUUCCUGUGGUGGAUCAUUGGGUUCUACUGGGUGGUCACCGGUGGCGACUUGCUCGAACAAGGUGCUCCAAGGCUGUAUUGGUUAACUGUAGUUUUUCUCUCGUUUGAUGUCUUCUUCGCUGUUUUUUGUGUUGUUGUGGCCUGCUUCAUUGGGGUUGCACUGUGCUGCUGCUUGCCUUGCGUCGUUGCAAUACUAUAUGCUCUGGUUGGCCAGGAGGGUGCAUCAGAUGCAGAUAUUGGUGUUCUCCCCAGAUAUAAAUAUUCCGAUCCCAGUGAGAAUGGAGAAAAAGGGACAGAUGAGGGGGUUAUGAUUCCUAUCCUUAAUAACAGUGGAACAGCAACGAGCGAACGGAUUCUCCUUCGUGAGGAUGCUGAAUGCUGCAUAUGUCUCUCAUCAUACGAAGACGGAGUGGAGCUAUCUGCCCUCCCUUGCAACCAUCACUUCCAUUCAACAUGCAUCACGAAAUGGCUACGCAUGCACGCAAACUGUCCACUUUGCAAGUACAACAUUCUCAAAGGCAGUGAAAACUGA
RNAcentral lists this ribosomal RNA (1092 nucleotides) under Triticum aestivum (bread wheat). Its description in RNAcentral is "partial small subunit ribosomal RNA". Lineage: Eukaryota; Viridiplantae; Streptophyta; Magnoliopsida; Poales; Poaceae. The record is from RNAcentral.